AUUGGUUUGUAUAUCAGUGUAAUCAAGCCAGGCAGGCCCGGACAAUACAAGUAAAUCGUGUUUAAUACGACUACAGAAUAGUGGGAAUCAUAAUGGAAGGAAGAUAAAAUAAGACGCAACGUACGGGUUUUAGCUACAAUAAUUAGUAAGAUUGAAGACUUCUUGACGAUGAUUAUAAUGUAUCCUAUAAAAUAUUCACUCACCAGAAUCGUCCAAAGAUCCAGGAGGGACAGAUAUCUACUCCAAACCUGGAAUCUGUUGCAGAAUAUUAAAGAAAAUUAUGGGAAAACAAAUGUGAAUGACGGACAGAUUUAGUAAGAUGAAAGAUUUAAGCCUACGAGCACACUACUGUUUCUCACA
Molecule: long non-coding RNA, 360 nt
Organism: Pectinophora gossypiella (pink bollworm)
Lineage: Eukaryota; Metazoa; Arthropoda; Insecta; Lepidoptera; Gelechiidae
Exons: 3
Source: RefSeq, a predicted model, not a curated record